CAUGAAUGGAUUAACGAGAUUCCCACUGUCCCUACCUACUUUCUAGCGAAACCACUGCCAAGGGAACGGGCUUGGAAACAUUAGCGGGGAAAGAAGACCCUAUUGAGUUUGACUCUAGUCUGGCACUGUAAGGAGACAUGAGAGGUGUAGCAUAAGUGGGAGCCGGUAUCCAUCCCGGCGAAAGUGAAAUACCACUACUUUCAUUGUUUCCUUACUUAUUCGAUGAAGCGGAGAACGUAUGUCGAUUCCACGUGAGCGGCAUUACGCUAUUUUCGUAUUAAACGUACGGGUGGCUCCGGAACCCGGGUCUCCCGUUUUAGCGUUCGCAGUUUUAGCGCGCUUGCGUGCGGACCGCGGAUGCGAACGGGGCCCGGCGGAUGGGCCAAUUUUAAGCCCGCGCGUGAUCCGAUUCGAAGACACUGCCAGGCGGGGAGUUUGACUGGGGCGGUACAUCUGUCAAAGAAUAACGCAGGUGUCCUAAGGCCAGCUCAGCGAGGACAGAAACCUCGCGUAGAGCAAAAGGGCAAAAGCUGGCUUGAUCCCGAUGUUCAGUACGCAUAGGGACUGCGAAAGCACGGCCUAUCGAUCCUUUUGGCAUCUAGAGUUUAGAGCAAGAGGUGUCAGAAAAAUUACCAUAGGGAUAACUGGCUUGUGGCGGCCAAGCGUUCAUAGCGACGUCGCUUUUUGAUCCUUCGAUGUCGGCUCUUCCUAUCAUUGCGAAGCAGAAUUCGCCAAGCGUCAGAUUGUUCACCUGCCAACAGGGAACGUGAGCUGGGUUUAGACCGUUGUGAAACAGGUUAGUUUUACCCUACUGAUAUUAGCGUCGUUGCGACAGUAAUCCUGCUCAGUACGAGAGGAACCGCAGGUUCGGACAUUUGGUUCAGCACCCGGUCGAACGACCGUUAGUGCCAAGCUACCAUCCGUUGGAUUACGCCUGAACGCCUCUAAGGCGGAAUCCGGUCUGGAUAAAGUUAUGAGCAACGAUUAAUUGAGGGGUCCCCUGAGUCGAAAGGCUGUUGAAACAAUCAUUUCACUUGCUAGGCCAGCCACGGGGAGCCGUGGCCGGUCGUAUGGCAUUCUCGAGCCGGUACCGGGUAAACGGGCGGCCGUCUCUACUGGGUUCUGGUAGGCGGUCCCUAUACCUGUGUCUACCAUUAGUUCGUUUUUCAUUCGAAGUGGGGACCCGGAAUCGUCUGUAGACGACUUAGGUGCUAGGCGGAGUGUUGUACUCAUGAGAGCAUUUUUUACGAUGCGAUCUGCUGAGACUUAGCUCUUGCU
This 1278-nucleotide ribosomal RNA is filed under the name Aurantiochytrium limacinum. Its description in RNAcentral is "partial Eukaryotic large subunit ribosomal RNA". It matches the Rfam family "Eukaryotic large subunit ribosomal RNA", at positions 2314 to 3389 of the family's 3401-position model. The record is from RNAcentral. Lineage: Eukaryota; Bigyra; Thraustochytrida; Thraustochytriidae.